RNAcentral lists this transfer RNA (72 nucleotides) under Ictidomys tridecemlineatus (thirteen-lined ground squirrel). RNAcentral describes it as "Spermophilus tridecemlineatus (thirteen-lined ground squirrel) tRNA". It matches the Rfam family "tRNA". Rfam says of the family: Transfer RNA (tRNA) molecules are approximately 80 nucleotides in length. The record is from Rfam by way of RNAcentral. Lineage: Eukaryota; Metazoa; Chordata; Mammalia; Rodentia; Sciuridae.
UGGGUUGUGGCUCAGCAGUAGAGUGCUCAGUUUGCAUGUGGGAGACCCUGGGUUCGAUCCUCAGCACCACAU